This 465-nucleotide ribosomal RNA is filed under the name Vreelandella stevensii. RNAcentral's name for it is "partial 16S ribosomal RNA". It matches the Rfam family "Bacterial small subunit ribosomal RNA", at positions 338 to 795 of the family's 1533-position model. The record is from RNAcentral. Lineage: Bacteria; Pseudomonadati; Pseudomonadota; Gammaproteobacteria; Oceanospirillales; Halomonadaceae.
CCUGCGGGAGGCAGCAGUGGGGAAUAUUGGACAAUGGGCGAAAGCCUGAUCCAGCCAUGCCGCGUGUGUGAAGAAGGCCUUCGGGUUGUAAAGCACUUUCAGUGGGGAAGAAAGCCUUGGGGCUAAUACCCUCGAGGAAGGACAUCACCCACAGAAGAAGCACCGGCUAACUCCGUGCCAGCAGCCGCGGUAAUACGGAGGGUGCGAGCGUUAAUCGGAAUUACUGGGCGUAAAGCGCGCGUAGGCGGUCUGAUAAGCCGGUUGUGAAAGCCCCGGGCUCAACCUGGGAACGGCAUCCGGAACUGUCAGGCUAGAGUGCAGGAGAGGAAGGUAGAAUUCCCGGUGUAGCGGUGAAAUGCGUAGAGAUCGGGAGGAAUACCAGUGGCGAAGGCGGCCUUCUGGACUGACACUGACGCUGAGGUGCGAAAGCGUGGGUAGCAAACAGGAUUAGAUACCCUGGUAGUC